RNAcentral lists this ribosomal RNA (431 nucleotides) under uncultured bacterium. RNAcentral describes it as "bacterial SSU rRNA". It matches the Rfam family "Bacterial small subunit ribosomal RNA", at positions 958 to 1392 of the family's 1533-position model. The record is from RNAcentral.
AACGCGAAGAACCUUACCUACCCUUGACAUGUCAGGAAGUCCGCAGAGAUGUGGAUGUGCUCGAAAGAGAACCUGAACACAGGUGCUGCAUGGCUGUCGUCAGCUCGUGUCGUGAGAUGUUGGGUUAAGUCCCGCAACGAGCGCAACCCUUGUCAUUAGUUGCUACGAAAGGGCACUCUAAUGAGACUGCCGGUGACAAACCGGAGGAAGGUGGGGAUGACGUCAAGUCCUCAUGGCCCUUAUGGGUAGGGCUUCACACGUCAUACAAUGGUCGGUACAGAGGGCUGCCAACCCGCGAGGGGGAGCUAAUCUUUUAAAACCGAUCGUAGUCCGGAUUGUAGUCUGCAACUCGACUGCAUGAAGUCGGAAUCGCUAGUAAUCGCGGAUCAGAAUGUCGCGGUGAAUACGUUCCCGGGGUCUUGUACACACCG